ACGGAACGUAUAUGGUUGAGGAGCUGUAAGAAGAUUACAGUAAAAGAUGUGCGCACAUGGAGGGAAUUAUCACGGCGAGAUCGAGGAGGCAUGCUUUCCACCCUACCAGAUUUACCACUCUUCAGAGGCAUCGUGGAGAAGAUCACCUUAUUGUCUUGGUAUAUGGUUUGGGUGAAAAUCGGUUGAAAGAAAUUUCAUUUAGUGAUCAUGACUUUGAAGAUGGGGAGUCCUUCCCUGAGGAGGGCUUGCUGCCGUCCAGCCUCCAAUCUCUUUCAUUCUCAGGUUGUCACAACUUGAGAAGAUUAAAUUACAGGGGUCUUCUCCACCUUCAUUCCCUUGCUUCCUUAUCUUUUCCAGACUGUCCAAACAUGAGUUUUGAAGGCAUGCCAGAAAAUGGUUUCCCUCCAUCCCUUUCUCAUUUAUCUAUCCAAGAUUGUUUCGUUGUUGGAGGAGAGGUGUAAAAAUCAGACAGCACCAGAUUGGCCUAAAAUUGCUCGUAUCCCUCAUGUCUCCAUACGCAGAGCUUGACUCUCAUUCUGCUCAAAGACAUUCCUAUAGCUAAUAUCUCAAGUUUCUUGGAGCAGAACAACAUCAUUUAUCAAUACUGCUUAUUCUGGAAAAGAUUCCUGAAGCUCCAUUCUGCAGUUUCUUAGAACAGCACAUGAAAACUGCUUGUGAUGCUUGAAAAGCAUCAGAAAGAAAAUGGAAUUUCUGGCUUGGUGAGAUUUCAAAAAACAGAGUGAAGGAAAUUUCUCAAAUGAAUGAAUGAAUAGAUCAGAAGUGUGGAGUGAAAUAUAUCAGAGAAGAGUUUUGUGCACAUGCUAGCUGAGUUAAGGAAAACUUCAUGUGGCAUAUAUGAAUGUCAGAAACAAUUAAGGAAAUAGAAUUCAACUUUGAGCUUCUCAUAUGAUGGGAGUUGAGACAACUUUUAGAAUGCCAGAAUCUCUUCUUUUUUUUUUUUUGCUGGUUAUUUGUUUCUUUGAUUUAUUUUUCGUGUAUUUUUUUCUUUUUCUUUUUUUUUGUUUGGUUGGUAUUGUUUAUUUUUUAUUUUAGAAAGUAAUAGGCUUUAUAGUUUUUAGCUGGUAAUGAUGAUCUUUAAAAUUUUGAUGUAUUUAUUUUUGUUGAUUGUGUAACCACAGUAUUCCUCCGUUAUAAGAGAGGGUUUAUUAAUAAAAUUGGAGGUAGGGAUCAAAGAGAAAGAUUUUCUCUCUCUCCCCUCUCCAACUUAAUCCUAGGAAUAAGAAAUGUGUAUGCUACUUUUAUGGUACUGAAGUGAUG
Long non-coding RNA from Prosopis cineraria, 1278 nucleotides. RefSeq lists it as uncharacterized. The transcript is spliced from 5 exons. NCBI's taxonomy places the organism in Eukaryota, Viridiplantae, Streptophyta, Magnoliopsida, Fabales, Fabaceae. The record is from RefSeq and is a predicted model, not a curated record.